UCUACUUUUGUGUAGACAUGCAUAAGGUUAUGGUGUCAUCAUGAUCAUCUUAGAUGACCCUAUGGAUCAUCAAGUCCAGCCCCUGUCAAGAAGGCACAGUGGGGAAUUAAACUUCCAACCCCUGGCUCCACAACCAGAUACCUAAACCACUGAGCUAUCCAACAGUUCAUGUGCAUGAGGACUCAUGCAGGAGAGAGAGCAGGUGGAUAAAGCAUUGUGGAAGGAAUGAAAGAUGUGUUGGAAAAAACAUUACUGCCAUUUCAGCCAGUGUUGUGUGAAAACGGGGUGGUUUCAUUCUCACAUUUGCUUUGAAAACUCCAAAUGAAAAGGUUACUGUGUGCAUAGGGGGACCUCUCCGAAGUCUUGGAAUUGAGAUACCAUUUGCAUUACUCAUGAGCUCAGCAUUCACACAAAAGGCCUACAGUAAAUGGCACAUAACUGCAGAUGCCUUGGCAUUUGAAUGAGACAAUGUUACAAGAAGUUACACUGCCUUCUUAUUUGCUGCUGACAUUAUUACAAUUUGUGUGUUUGUGGUUCCUUUUUUAAAAGAUAUGGUUGUCAAUUUUUAAAUAUUUUUUGUUUAUUUUUUGCAGACCAUCCUGGAAUCCUCCCAACCGAAAGAUAGAGAAUAUGUUUUUCAAUAACUAAUGGGAAGGUCUGAAGAGAAAUCAUGGCUGUUGUUACAGUGCUCCAUGUACUCAAGAACACCACUCGUAUAGGGUUCCCAGUCACACAGAGAAUGGAAUAAGGUGUGAGAGAAGCCACAAUCCUGCACAGUUUUGUGGUCUUGCCCAUUCCACACAGCUUGCCAAGGGGGUAACCUCACCGAGGGACAUAGGACUGAAAAUGCUUCUUACCUAGGGCGGAUGGAGGCAUCAAGUAGAAACCAAGUCU
Molecule: long non-coding RNA, 894 nt
Filed under: Pogona vitticeps (central bearded dragon)
Lineage: Eukaryota; Metazoa; Chordata; Lepidosauria; Squamata; Agamidae
Description: lncRNA (ENSPVIG00000023666.1)
Source: RNAcentral